Molecule: ribosomal RNA, 432 nt
Filed under: uncultured beta proteobacterium
Lineage: Bacteria; Pseudomonadati; Pseudomonadota; Betaproteobacteria
Description: bacterial SSU rRNA
Rfam family: Bacterial small subunit ribosomal RNA
Source: RNAcentral
GAGUUUGAUCCUGGCUAGAUUGAACGCUGGCGGCAUGCCUUACACAUGCAAGUCGAACGGUAACGCGGGGCAACCGGCGACGAGUGGCGAACGGGUGAGUAAUACAUCGGAACGUGCCCAGUAAUGGGGGAUAGCCGGCGAAAGCCGGAUUAAUACCGCAUACGACCUACGGGUGAAAGAGGGGGAUCGCAAGCCUCUCGUUAUUGGAGCGGCCGAUGGCAGAUUAGGUAGUUGGUGGGGUAAAAGCCUACCAGCCGACGAUCUGUAGCUGGUCUGAGAGGACGACCAGCCACACUGGGACUGAGACACGGCCAGACUCCUACGGGAGGCAGCAGUGAGGAAUUUUCCGCAAUGGGCGAAAGCCUGACGGGCAAUGCCGCGUGAAGGAUGAAGGCCUGUGGGUUGUAAACUUCUUUUCUCAGAGACGAAAUC